This 496-nucleotide ribosomal RNA is filed under the name uncultured bacterium. Its description in RNAcentral is "partial 16S ribosomal RNA". It matches the Rfam family "Bacterial small subunit ribosomal RNA", at positions 28 to 506 of the family's 1533-position model. The record is from RNAcentral.
GACGAACGCUGGCGGCGUGCCUAAUACAUGCAAGUAGAACGCUGAAGAGAGGAGCUUGCUCUUCUUGGAUGAGUUGCGAACGGGUGAGUAACGCGUAGGUAACCUGCCUUGUAGCGGGGGAUAACUAUUGGAAACGAUAGCUAAUACCGCAUAACAAUGGAUGACACAUGUCAUUUAUUUGAAAGGGGCAAUUGCUCCACUACAAGAUGGACCUGCGUUGUAUUAGCUAGUAGGUGAGGUAAUGGCUCACCUAGGCGACGAUACAUAGCCGACCUGAGAGGGUGAUCGGCCACACUGGGACUGAGACACGGCCCAGACUCCUACGGGAGGCAGCAGUAGGGAAUCUUCGGCAAUGGGGGCAACCCUGACCGAGCAACGCCGCGUGAGUGAAGAAGGUUUUCGGAUCGUAAAGCUCUGUUGUAAGUCAAGAACGGGUGUGAGAGUGGAAAGUUCACACUGUGAGGGUAGCUUACCAGAAAGGGACGGCUAACUACGU